AACGUCCCAGUUCGGAUUGUAGUCUGCAACCCGACUACAUGAAGCUGGAAUCGCUAGUAAUCGCGAAUCAGCAUGUCGCGGUGAAUACGUUCCCGGGUCUUGUACACACCGCCCGUCACACCAUGGGAGUUGGUAACGCCCGAAGUCAGUGACCUAACCGCAAGGGAGGAGCUGCCGAAGGUGGGGCCAGUAACUGGGGUGAAGUCGUAACAAGGUACC
Molecule: ribosomal RNA, 219 nt
Filed under: uncultured bacterium
Lineage: Bacteria
Description: partial 16S ribosomal RNA
Rfam family: Bacterial small subunit ribosomal RNA
Source: RNAcentral